GAUGAAGAACGCAGCGAAAUGCGAUAAGUAAUGUGAAUUGCAGAAUUCAGUGAAUCAUCAAAUCUUUGAACGCACAUUGCGCCCGCCAGUAUUCUGGCGGGCAUGCCUGUUCGAGCGUCAUUUCAACCAUCAAGCCCUGCUUGCGUUGGGGUCCUGCGGCUGCCCGCAGGCCCUGAAAACCAGUGGCGGGCUCGCUAGUCACACCGAGCGCAGUAAUACAUCUCGCUUUGGGCGUGCGGCGGGUUCUUGCCGUUAAACACCCCCUUUUUACCAAGGUUGACCUCGGAUCAGGUAGGAAUACCCGCUGAACUUAAGCAUAUCAAUAAGCGGAGGA
RNAcentral lists this unclassified non-coding RNA (334 nucleotides) under soil metagenome. RNAcentral's name for it is "partial contains 5.8S ribosomal RNA, internal transcribed spacer 2, and large subunit ribosomal RNA". The stretch from base 1 to 120 matches the Rfam family "5.8S ribosomal RNA", at positions 35 to 154 of the family's 154-position model. The record is from RNAcentral.